GUGGGUAGUUUGACUGGGGCGGUCUCCUCCUAAAGAGUAACGGAGGAGCACGAAGGUUGGCUAAUCCUGGUCGGACAUCAGGAGGUUAGUGCAAUGGCAUAAGCCAGCUUGACUGCGAGCGUGACGGCGCGAGCAGGUGCGAAAGCAGGUCAUAGUGAUCCGGUGGUUCUGAAUGGAAGGGCCAUCGCUCAACGGAUAAAAGGUACUCCGGGGAUAACAGGCUGAUACCGCCCAAGAGUUCAUAUCGACGGCGGUGUUUGGCACCUCGAUGUCGGCUCAUCACAUCCUGGGGCUGAAGUAGGUCCCAAGGGUAUGGCUGUUCGCCAUUUAAAGUGGUACGCGAGCUGGGUUUAGAACGUCGUGAGACAGUUCGGUCCCUAUCUGCCGUGGGCGCUGGAGAACUGAGGGGGGCUGCUCCUAGUACGAGAGGACCGGAGUGGACGCAUCACUGGUGUUCGGGUUGUCAUGCCAAUGGCACUGCCCGGUAGCUAAAUGCGGAAGAGAUAAGUGCUGAAAGCAUCUAAGCACGAAACUUGCCCCGAGAUGAGUUCUCCCUGAGACUUAGAGUCUCCUGAAGGAACGUUGAAGACGACGACGUUGAUAGGCCGGGUGUGUAAGCGCAGCGAUGCGUUGAGCUAACCGGU
Molecule: ribosomal RNA, 644 nt
Filed under: Salmonella enterica subsp. enterica serovar Agona
Lineage: Bacteria; Pseudomonadati; Pseudomonadota; Gammaproteobacteria; Enterobacterales; Enterobacteriaceae
Also listed under: 1 other name
Description: partial 23S ribosomal RNA
Rfam family: Bacterial large subunit ribosomal RNA
Source: RNAcentral